This is a long non-coding RNA of Oncorhynchus nerka (sockeye salmon), 1714 nucleotides long. RefSeq lists it as uncharacterized. The transcript is spliced from 4 exons. NCBI's taxonomy places the organism in Eukaryota, Metazoa, Chordata, Actinopteri, Salmoniformes, Salmonidae. The record is from RefSeq and is a predicted model, not a curated record.
AUGACCUGAUGACAUGUACAGAAUAUGUGCCCCCGCCCCGCCCCCCCCUGUUCGUGUGGUCAUGUGUUAGAGGGUGUUUGAACUUUUGGGGCCCAUGCCCCCCCUACACCCCCCAGUUUUAUCUCCCUUAUGGUUGUUAUCUAUGAAGCAGGAAUGUCUGGGGCUAUAGAUAGCGCUGGGGCCUCAGCAUUAUAAAUGGCUAGAACAAGCCAUUUUUUAAGACCUGAAUAUUAAGCAUCUAAAAAUAUGUCUACAAGGGGAAUUCUCGGAGUGCUCUGUAGCUCAUGUCACGAACCCAACGCCAAAAGCUUGGAGGAUAUUUUGGUAGAGGCUCCCGAAUGUUUUAACGGAUUUCUGUGUACAAGCGAGGGCCAUAUUUCGUACAUAUUCAACCCGGAGGAAUCUACGGUUAAGAUAUUCACAGACAGCGUGUCCCAACCCUUUUAUCGUGCAGAACCCGAGCCUUUUUCUCUAGCGCUAAGGAUGCGAGAAUGGCUUAAAAUAAGGCUAGCUUUGUGUCAAAUGGAACGUGCCCUGAGUGCUUCAAGGCUGCCAGGAUAUGCGCUGGAAGAACAAGUCUGUGGACGUCAGGACCUAAUGGCCCUGAGAGUCACAUCCAUGGGCUAUACCCCGGACUCCAGAGUGACAAUUUUAGCAUGUGAACAAUUUGACAGGUCAAAUGCUACGAAAACGGUCAGUCCAUAUGUAUCCUCCAAAGCAUGCAAGGAUGUAAAAUUUUUUCAAAUAAUGUUCAGUUUUAAAUGGCGCGAUUACCACAUUUUCCGAACCCUGAUGAAUAAGCUGGACAGUCUUUUCGAAAAUCGUGAACAAUUACGACGAUGGCCUAGGUUAUCGUUGAGACAUACACCGGAAGAACAACAAGUUCGAAGGCGGAUCUUUCCCUGGCAGGAAAGUGGACAGAGCUUCGACGGAGCGCGGAAAAGACUUUGUGAUGGGGAAUUGGAAACGGAUAAUGUUCAGGGCUAACAGGACCCCAUAUAUCUCCGACAUACAGCCCUUUAUGAUAAAGGAUGCGUUAUGGCCAGCUGACACGCAGGACUUUGAUGCAAUUCUACCGUUCUGUACGAGCGCUUUUUCAAACUCACCGCGAAUCCAGGGAACAUCGACCCCCUCCCGACAUAUUCCAGACCCCAACAGGCAACGAUCAACUGUGGCCCAAGUACACUGCUCCGAAUCAAGCCCACCCGAAAACUACUGUUGGGCCGGGAACUUGCUGCUUCACGAGCCGGCGCUCCAGGGACAAGACUACCCGGAGACAGAUCCAGCAGAAUCGGGAAAGCUAGAGGGAAAAAGUCACACACCCCCGGUUUCGGCGAUUCGUCACAACAAGCGCCAAAAAAGCCGAGACUCCGCACCGGCGAAAAACGGCACAGACGACCACAUAAAUCUAGAGCUGGGGGAUUCCGGCGCCCCCGAGCAUUCCGAAUGAAACACCCAAGAGACCUGUUUUUAAUGACAUGUCAGAUGUUGAUGACCAGCUAUUCUGUGAUGCGGCCAACCUUAUAGACCCAGUCAAUUCUACGGCCUCAAUACCUGCAGACGAACAAGAAAGGUUUUUCACAUUAUUUUCCAGGGCUUUGAAAUCGAGGAAUGUUUUGCUAUACAAACGACUGGGGGAUUUAAUUGAGAGACAGUACAGAGACGAUAUGUUAUUCUGGCAUAGAACAAUUCCACGCAUGUUAAACAGCAACCC